CUUGACCUGCCUUCCAGGUGUGUCUCAACAAAGCCCCAAAAUUCUCUUGAAUUCAAAAAACGCCCUCAUCCUGAGACUAUACUGCUGACUGUCCAUAUUAAUCCAUAAGUGGCCCACCCAACCCUGUCGUGACAGCUCCCGUCAUCACAAACACAGAGAAAUGUGUUUCCAGCUUGGUAUCCUGCAACUUUAGAUAAGGGUAUUUUUUUAAAGGGUGGGGGGUAGAUAUAUAAUAGAGUGCUGGAGACAGAAGCAGAGCAGAGUUCACUUUGUUUCCUACGUUUCCUUUCGGGGGGGAUUCCGACACGUAUGUUUAUGUAAUAAAUGUUAUUAAAUGUCGAUGCUCCCUCAGUGACCUGUUUCCUCUGUUUUCGUUACGGCCGCAGAACGCUCCCGUGAAAUGAGACGGAGAGCGCGCGAUCGGGGCGCAGGAGGAACCCCGCCUGACUGGGCUGUUGACCGCACUCUUGGGCUGUGGAGAAGGGGUUUUGGCUGUCAGGACUGAGCGGACCCCAGCAGAAAUGACCCCCCUGUGAGCCCUAACUCAUCCUCAGUGGGAGGCCCGCAGGAGCGGACGCGCUGCGUGCCACGCUCAACCCGUCAUGGGGCGAGGAGCAACUUUUCAGAAAAUCCCAGAGCGGAACAACUUUCAGCAUCCUGUAAAUUGCAGCCAAAAUGAGCGGCCUGAAGAGGAGAAGCUGAAUCAGUGGAUGAGAAGCUGGCUGUAUUAUGCUCUACAGGAGGAUCUGUCUAUAACAAAGGAAGGUUGCCAGAUCUUACAUAAGAGGGAUAUUAAUCAACACCAGGCACCCUUUCAGGAGUUAAACAGGGUGUGUUGUCUUACUUUGUUUACAGAAAAAUCACCAAGCAUCACUGCAUUGGGAAAGAAGUUGUCCUUCUAAAUCAGAUAUUUAGGCAUACAACGAGGAAAAUUCCAGACUUCAACAGCCCUCUAAAAAAGGUGUAAGGUUUUAGUGUAUGCAAUAAAAUGUGUGCCAUGUUUCUGCAGAGGAAGUCAUAAUAUUAUUUUAAUCUCUUACCAGUAACAGAGGGAGCCAGCAUAAUAAAAAAUUGCAACCAUA
Anguilla rostrata (American eel) is the source of this 1082-nucleotide long non-coding RNA. RefSeq lists it as uncharacterized. The record is from RefSeq and is a predicted model, not a curated record. The transcript is spliced from 2 exons. NCBI's taxonomy places the organism in Eukaryota, Metazoa, Chordata, Actinopteri, Anguilliformes, Anguillidae.